Molecule: ribosomal RNA, 253 nt
Filed under: Prevotellamassilia timonensis
Lineage: Bacteria; Pseudomonadati; Bacteroidota; Bacteroidia; Bacteroidales; Prevotellaceae
Description: partial 16S ribosomal RNA
Rfam family: Bacterial small subunit ribosomal RNA
Source: RNAcentral
UACGGAAGGUCCAGGCGUUAUCCGGAUUUAUUGGGUUUAAAGGGAGCGCAGGCGGACCUUUAAGUCAGCUGUGAAAUACGGCGGCUCAACCGUCGAACUGCAGUUGAUACUGGAGGUCUUGAGUGCACACAGGGAUACUGGAAUUCAUGGUGUAGCGGUGAAAUGCUCAGAUAUCAUGAAGAACUCCGAUCGCGAAGGCAGGUAUCCGGGGUGCAACUGACGCUGAGGCUCGAAAGUGCGGGUAUCAAACAGG